UGUGCCGCAAGGCGGACUUAUGCUGUACCCACAGCGUAGCGGCUAGAACCCGCAUCGGACUUCUAACCAAGGAGAAAACAAAUG
RNAcentral lists this non-coding RNA (84 nucleotides) under unclassified sequences. RNAcentral's name for it is "freshwater-2 RNA". It matches the Rfam family "freshwater-2 RNA". Rfam says of the family: Aquatic, esp. fresh water. No recognized genes The record is from RNAcentral.